UCUUCCGUUCUUUUUAACCAACAAAAAGUUUCAUAAGCAGAAUCUCCAGAUAUUAUACAACUAAUUUCCAUUUUGCUUUUUUGCUCAUUGAUUCCUUCUUCUUUCACUAUAUACAUACAUUUAAUUUCAACAAUAACAAUGGCAGAAGCUACUGCAGUUGCAGCUCAACCUCAACCAGAAUCAACAACUCCUCCUCCCAUGGCCAAAUCUGAUGACUCUAAAGCUAUUGCUACUCUUCCCCCAACAAAGCCUGACUCUUCAACAAAGAAAAGUUCAAAGGGAUCCUUCGACAGAGAUGUUGCUCUCGCACACCUUGAAGAAGAGAAAAGGAAUUCCUAUAU
Molecule: unclassified non-coding RNA, 341 nt
Filed under: Hevea brasiliensis (rubber tree)
Lineage: Eukaryota; Viridiplantae; Streptophyta; Magnoliopsida; Malpighiales; Euphorbiaceae
Source: RNAcentral